RNAcentral lists this transfer RNA (70 nucleotides) under Scolytus sp. APV-2011. Its description in RNAcentral is "tRNA-Lys". The record is from RNAcentral. Lineage: Eukaryota; Metazoa; Arthropoda; Insecta; Coleoptera; Curculionidae.
CAUCAGGUGGCUGAAAGUAAGUUUUGGUCUCUUAAACCACCUAAUAGUAAGUAACGCCUACUCCUGAUGG